UUCCCGAGCGGCCAAAGGGAGCAGACUGUAAAUCUGCCGUCAUCGACUUCGAAGGUUCGAAUCCUUCCCCCACCACCAUCACUUU
Molecule: transfer RNA, 85 nt
Filed under: Escherichia coli
Lineage: Bacteria; Pseudomonadati; Pseudomonadota; Gammaproteobacteria; Enterobacterales; Enterobacteriaceae
Description: tRNA-Tyr
Rfam family: tRNA (bases 1-75)
About the family: Transfer RNA (tRNA) molecules are approximately 80 nucleotides in length. Their secondary structure includes four short double-helical elements and three loops (D, anti-codon, and T loops).
Source: RNAcentral